UACGUAGGGGGCAAGCGUUAUCCGGAUUUACUGGGUGUAAAGGGAGCGUAGACGGAAUUGCAAGUCUGAUGUGAAAAUCCGGGGCCCAACCCCGGAACUGCAUUGGAAACUGUAUUUCUAGAGUGUCGGAGAGGCAAGUGGAAUUCCUGGUGUAGCGGUGAAAUGCGUAGAUAUCAGGAGGAACACCAGUGGCGAAGGCGGCUUGCUGGACGAUGACUGACGUUGAGGCUCGAAAGUGCGGGGAUCGAACAGG
This 253-nucleotide ribosomal RNA is filed under the name uncultured bacterium. Its description in RNAcentral is "partial 16S ribosomal RNA". It matches the Rfam family "Bacterial small subunit ribosomal RNA", at positions 524 to 776 of the family's 1533-position model. The record is from RNAcentral.